Molecule: ribosomal RNA, 253 nt
Filed under: uncultured bacterium
Lineage: Bacteria
Description: partial 16S ribosomal RNA
Rfam family: Bacterial small subunit ribosomal RNA
Source: RNAcentral
UACAGAGGUCCCAAGCGUUGUUCGGAUUCAUUGGGCGUAAAGGGUGUGUAGGUGGCGCCGUAAGUCGGGUGUGAAAUCUCGGGGCUUAACUCCGAAACUGCAUUCGAUACUGCGGUGCUUGAGGACUGGAGAGGAGACUGGAAUUCACGGUGUAGCAGUGAAAUGCGUAGAGAUCGUGAGGAAGACCAGUGGCGAAGGCGGGUCUCUGGACAGUUCCUGACACUGAGGCACGAAGGCCAGGGGAGCAAACGGG